UGAGUUGUUGACUAAUGGGUAAGUCGCUGAUUUUUGAAUUCAGUUUAUGAAAGUUCGAGCCUUUCCAACUCAU
Molecule: transfer RNA, 73 nt
Organism: Taphrina deformans PYCC 5710
Lineage: Eukaryota; Fungi; Ascomycota; Taphrinomycetes; Taphrinales; Taphrinaceae
Rfam family: tRNA
About the family: Transfer RNA (tRNA) molecules are approximately 80 nucleotides in length.
Source: Rfam